Non-coding RNA from Macaca mulatta (Rhesus monkey), 13325 nucleotides. NCBI's taxonomy places the organism in Eukaryota, Metazoa, Chordata, Mammalia, Primates, Cercopithecidae. The record is from RefSeq and is a predicted model, not a curated record.
CUGACAUAUUGAUUAUUUGAAAAGAAAUUUAGAACUCAUAUCUAACAGUAGGACUCCAGGUGUAAAAUAAUCCAUGAGAACACAUGAAUAUUUGAUGAUUUUAUUUCUCACUGUGUUCCAGAAAGGAUGUGAGGGGGCUUAAAUGUUUUACUGACAUGAAAACACCCAGUAAAGUAGUAUAUGCACAACUAAAAAAUCAACGAAAUUCUAUUAUACAUUAAAUUAAUAAUAAUGGAUACUAUGCAUUUGAAUAUCCACUUUCCUGUGGCAGGAUGGUUUGUAAAAUAUGAAGUCUUUUUUGCUAGCUCAUGCAUUGAAAAUCCAACGUUCUUGGCUUACAUAUUCAAAAGGAAAGGCCCAAUUGUGAUGUGGAAAGGAGAACAGAUGGGUGGAGUGGAUAUUGUUGCAGCACUCACUGGUAUCCCCUCUUCUGGACAGAGGCACCCAUUUCCCAGCAACUGCGAACAGCAGGUAUCUCUCAGCUGGGUCUGUCAUCAGAAACUGCCCUCAGCCACGGGGAACUGAUUAGGCAUCAACCCCUUCCGCAAGAUAAGGGAGUCAAGUUUGAAGCCCAUGGAAGAUAUGAUGCAGCCUUGCUGGCUUGAAAAUGGAGGGGUUCAUGUGUAAGGAUGUGGGUGACCUCCCAGUUGAAGGCCAGCAAGGAAACCAGGACUACAGUCUCACAACCAAAAAGAAUUGGAUUCUGCCAACAACAGGAAUGAGCUUGGAAGUGGAUUUUCCCCCAGAGCCUCCAGAGGACUUUGCUCCCUUGAGCAGUGAAGCCAGCCAUGCUGUGCAGAAUUUCUGACCUACAGAACUCUGUGCUAACAAAUGAGUGUUGUUUUAGUCUGCUAAGUUUGUGGCAGUUUGUUACACAGUAAUCAAAAAUUAAUGCAGAGGGGGAAAAUGAAAUAGAAGGAGCUCAGAUAAGCUCCUCCCCACCACCACAAGCUGCAUUUAAGUGGAUCACACCAGCUCCAGGAGGAAAUCAGGGAAGACGACUCAUGUGCAUUUCUCCUCGUGCCUGGAUCUUCAUUGGAACAUGGAUUAAAAGACUCAAAGGGAAACAUCUACCAAUUACAACACAUGAAGCUUCAUAUAAGUUUUUGGAUCCUGAUCCAAAAAACCAUCAGGAAAACAAAUUAUGAGUGUUCCCAAAAGUUGCUGCCCACAGGAUGGGGAAAUUCCAGCCAUCGCCUACAUUUGAUUUAGAGAUCUUGGAUUUUGAUACCCUAGAGAUGAAGAUGUGCAUAAGUCACAGCUGCUAAAAGAUGGGUCUAAGAGAAUACAACGUGGCAAAUAGGAUCUUGCUGCCUGGAUAAUAAGAGAUGUUCCUGAGUGAAGCUGUGUGGAGGGACUGGAGCCUUACCAUGGAAGUGACCUAGGGAGUAGGUCCAGGGAUGCGCUAUCUUCCAAUGGUACCCAUUAAUAAGGAGAACAUAGUCAUCUUUGCUAACCAUAAAGCUUAUUUUCUAGAAUAAGGCAUCCUUACUGGGAUUUCCAAGAGCCAUGAUCCUGGAACCACACUGGGAUGACCCCUUCCCAAUGCAGCACGGCACAGGCUGUAUCUAUCCAGAUGCUUCCUCCAGGUCCUCAUCCUUGGAGUGGUCCAGCUUAAAGUGCUCUGUGAGGAUAAUUUGCAGAGUGGCUACAGACUUUGGGAGAAGGAUGACUGUCUACAGACAGUUCUAUUACAGUAAUAAUCAAGAAAACUACUUUAUGGGAUGACUGCAAGGGGUUGUGUCCCUAGGACUAGGAAGGACGAAGAACCUGGCAUAGGACAGAACCGUCUGUCAGAGGGCCCUGUGACAAGGUUUUUCCUUCUACUGUGCCCUGUUCUGAGUGACCAGAGAACUACCAAGGAAUAUUCCCAGAGUCUGUACCUGGCAGAGCUGAUGGUGCAAUUCGCUGCAGACUUGCACAGGCUGUAACUCUUCCACCUCUAAUGGACCAGACGCCAUUAGCAUCAUCGAUCUCUGGCCAGGAUGCAGACUGAACCCCUCUCUGGCUGAUUUAUGAGAAAGGUACUCAGACAAGAGCAUCGACAGACUGGCUCCUGGGGUGUGGUCCAGGCUGUGGCUGGAAUCCUUUCAACACCAGCCUUUCAUCAGGAGCAAAGACCUCAGAAGUGAAGAAGAAGAAAAAAGCAGAGAAGUCGAGGCCGACAAUUUGUCAUCAGUUGGCAGUCUAAGGCAGCAUAGGUAGAAAAAGCAGCCUGGAGGUUUAGGAGCACAAAGCUGGUAGAAUGAGGACCAUCAGGAGAGCAAAGGUUUAGGUGAGCAGCUCAUCUGGAGAAGUCAGGGUCAAGAGUAAAAGCUUAAAGGCAUCUGGUGGCCUCUGCCUUCCCACUCCUUGCAGAUGGAACUUGCCUGUCAUUUUCAGAUCCAGCCCUGCAGAGUUCCUGCAUCAGUCCUCACUGACAAGACAGUAUUUCAGCAGCAAUCUCAGCCCCUGACCCAGGGGAUUUAGAAUUAAGUCAGUGAUCUGGGAUACAGAGGCCUGGUCACAGUGGCAGGCUCCCUCGUCUCUCUCGGGUAUGAUUCUCUUUUGCUGCUCUGCUGGCCCGAGCCCCAGAAGAGGUACGCUGUGUGCUUCCAGAUUGGCCUUGUACAUGACUUUGUGCCUUCUUUCUAUCUUCUGUCUGAUUAUGUUACCCAAGGCCUCUGAAUCGUACCCUGUGGGGGUUUGUAACCUGCUGCCUCCCAUCAGCCGCCCAUCUCCAGGCAUUCAUGGAUCCCUGUGGGGCCCUGUGGUGGUAAGAGGUGUGUGCUGACUGUUACCCCCCUGCCUGACUGGCAGCUGGAUUGCAGCCUGCAAGACCCUGAGCUGAGGACCCAGCCUGCUGUGACCAGGCCUCUAUAUCCCAGAUCACUGACUUAAUUCUAAACCCCCCAGGUCAGAGACUGAGAUUGUUGCUAAAAUGCUGUCUGCUCAGCAAGGACUGACGUGGGAACUCUGCCCCGGGCUGGAUCUGAAGGUGACAGGCGAGCCCCACCUUCCAUAGACUCCAGACCCAUGGACGCUGUGCGAUCAUAAACACAGGUUGUUUUAAGCUGGUAAAUAUCUGAUAAUUUGUUACCCAGCAAUAGAAAAAGAACCACCAUGUUUGAGCUUUCUGCUGCCUCCUCUGGCCAGGCUGUCUUGUUUGUGUGUGACCUGGUCCCCCCAGUGUCAUGUUCUAUCCUUCCAGGGCAGAGUGUCCUUCCAGCAGCUGCUCUGGAGUCCGGCUGGCGGGACUUGCGCACCUCAGUGGGUGAGCUCCGCUUCAGACGGAGGACCCUGCUUCCCAGGCUGCCUUCCCCUCUGUUUGGGCUGAGAUGAGACCCAGAGCAUGACAAUGUCCUCAGAGGAAUGUAGCAACUCAGCCCCUGGUGGUUUCAGGAACACAAUGAGAAAUGAUGUUUAGAUCUCUGAGCCUCCCGCCGGUAUUGCUCUUGCCACCCAAGUUCUGAACGAAUUGAGAAAAGACAAAGGAGUUGGCAGACAGAGACCAACCUAGCACCUUUCCUACCGAUGAGGAUGGUAUGUGAGGAGGAGGGUUAGAUCUACAGGCAUGGGGGCUUCUGAUCACAACAGCCCAGCAACCAGGCAGGCCCAGGCCGAGGCAGCAGGCACGGGGAAUGUGGAGCAGAAGGUGGGCUUCCUGCAGUGGGAUUGCUCCCAAGCAGAUGCAGACAGCAAGGGGCUGGGUACACGAGGCUCUCCCUCACGGCAGAGGCCACUCCACUUUUGCUGAGCAGAAGUGAGGAAGACCAGAGGCCAGAAUGGCCUGGUUGUUAAGAUUGUUUCUGCAUGGAAGAAAAUACCAGGAGCAAAGAGGCAUCUCCCCGACUGCCACUAUUGGUAAAGGGGAGAAGCCUCAGACACACGAAGUCCUCUCUGGCUAACCUUGCAAAGCUGGGACAAACCAUCCCACCCGCAGCUCAGCUGACAGGCUGGGCAUCUUCAAUUCCAACGGAAGCGGAGGCAAAGCCAAAAUGGCCACAAAACACACCAGUAGAUACACUUGCUGAGCACAUAGUUCUUAACCUAAUUGAGCUGUUUGGUCAGAGAUUUCCUGGUGAGGGGAAUGUCUAUUAGUUACACAGUACCAAUUCUUAAAAAAAAAAUUGUGGUAAUACAUAUGUUAUUUUAUAUGACAUAAAAUUUAGUGUUUAGCUAUUUUAAGUGUGCAGUUUAGUGACAAUAAAUACAUUCACAUUCUUGUGCAAACAUCACCACUAUUCAUCUCCAGAACUUCUUCAUCUUCCCAAAGUAAAACUGUAUCCAUUAAACACCAACUCUGUGUUCCUUCCUCUAGCCCCUGAUUAUCACCAAUCUACUUUCUGUCUCUCGGAAUUUAACUACUCAUAUGUCUGAGUCAGUUCAGGCUGCUAUAUAACAAAAAUACUAUAGAUUAGGUAACUUAAACAACAAAUACUUAUUUUUCACAGUUCAGGAUCUGCCCCCGCCUGCAUUCAUAGGUACCAAAUACAGAGUAGACUUUCACAGGAUUCAGGUUGUCUGGCCAGUACAUGUGGUAAAAAUUGCACACUGUUAGUAUUGCUCCCUUGAGCUGAGCAUCGGAUGCAGUGUUUGAAUUGCGUUUAGAGGCCAUUUUAUAUGAAAAAUUUGAAUCUGUAUCAACAAAAUCACCUUCAGGAUGGCAAGAUGCUCACCAGGUGAACUGCCCCAGAUGCUGAGACUGUCCUCGAAGAUAGCAGAGCCCUAGCUCCACUCCCUGCUCAUGCCAAGGCACAGGCCCACUGGGUGCAGGAGGUGGGUGGCACGUGCUGUGACAUGGUCUUUUCUCACUCUCUGCAGGUCAUAAUGGGUUUAAUUUGCAUAUUCACUCUUAAAGGGCAUAUAAUGUGGCUCCACUCUCAGCCACAGGCAGCUGGUGGCAGCUGGUUUUCCUGCUGGUCCCAGAGUCUAUCACUGCCUUGCUCCUCUUUGGUCCCAUUGGCUGGUAGCACCUUUGCUUUCUGAUCUCAGUGUGGCUUUUGGCCUUGGUUCCCCUCCUGGAUUAACAGCUCCCAGUGAUUUGGCUUCUGGAUUGUCGGGGCUGUUUAGCCCUUACGUUGUGGUCUUUUGUGGCGUGGUUUGCUCUGGGGUUAACUUUUCAGCUUGGACUCGUGGACUUUGGGGUUCAAGUUCAAAAUGAAGUGCCUUGUCCCCACCUCAGAGUGUUCCAGGCCACCUCUUAGCAGGGGCCCUCUCCAUCGGAGGGCCAGGUCAGACACUGGAAAGUUCUCAUUCUUCUGGAAUCUGCUUACUAGUUUGGUCCUGGUUAUUGCUUUGAAUUUCAGGUCUGCGGCUGGGUUGCUCUUUCUCUGGGAUAUCCUGGUUCUACUCGAGUGAGGAAGGAAGUUUUCCACAUCACUUCGGAAAUAUCUUCUGGGAUCUAGGUUGUUGUGUGUACUCUGAUGGAGUGUUGGAGCAGUGCAUGAGGUUCAUUUCCUGAACAUCUCUGUGCGCUAUUGUUAUGCUCCAUGCUUUCCCUGCCCAAUGGAGGAUGGCUCAUCAUCACAACUCCAGGAGCGUGGCGUUAAUAUCUCCCCACUGUGCUCAGUGGAAACAGAUCCAGAUAGCUCAAGCAACUUGCCCAGGGGCUCACAGCUGGUGACCAGCAAAUCCUGUUCUGCCUGAUUCCAAAAUUCAUACCUUAACACUCUACCACACAGUGCCCAGCAAAAUCCUAAAAGUGGGUAAAUCUUAUCUUAGUUUCUGUCAGCAUCUUUCAUCCCUCUACACUCCAUCCAUGAAGCCACAGCUCAAUACGGUACCACAUGUUGUCCCAGGCUCUUGGGCAGAACCCUAUAGUUUAUUCCUUAAUUUCUUCCCUCAUUCUCAAAUAAUUUGCCCUAAGGUCAUCUCAGCAGGCUUGGCACUGGGCUGAGUAAUUUAUAGGGAAAAAUGACUGCAAUGUUAGUAGGAAUCUGUGUUUCCAUACUCUUUCCUUCUGUUAAAAUGUUUGCACUUUAACGAAACUCUAGCUCAGAGGACCAAUGGUAGGAAUUUGAAAUGUGUCGUAACCCUGGAAUGGCAAAUACUUUUGGAUAGGUGUUGCAGCCUGAACUGUGUUCCCCCAAAAUGUGUAUGUUGAGGUCCUAAUUCGCAGUACCUCAAAAUGUGGCUAUAUUUGUAUUUAAAGAGGUAAUUAAGUUAAAACAAUUAAAGCACUAAUCCACUAUGACUGGUGUCCUAUAAGAGAAUAUUACAACACAAUUUGCACAGAAGGAAGAUGAUAUGAAGACAUAGGGGGAAAAAUGGCCAUUGCUAAGCCAACUCCAAAAAUGGCCAUCUCCAAGCUUAGGUAGGGAGAGGUGUCAGAAGAAACCAACGCUGCUGACAGGGUUGAUCUUGGACUUCCCAACUUCCAGGACUGUGAAAAUAUAAGUUUCUGUUGUUUAAGCCAAGUCUGCAGUCCUUUGUUACGACAGCCCUAGCAAACUAAUACAAUAGGUCUUGUCAGUAUACCGCAAAUAUCAAGUCAUGCAGCAGAGGCUAAUGCAUAUGGGCGGGAACCGCAAGCUCCAGCGACCCCUUGGCGGGGAGGGGAAAGGUACUAGCUCCUUCUUGGCUUCCCACCACUAAGUGCUGUAAGGAGCCGAGAAGAGCUUUGUGGUCAGCACAUCUAAGCACUUUGAUGGGAUAUAUGAGAUCAGAGACAUCGUAAUCACCUUCCAGGAGCCAGACAGAAAGGCAGGGUGAUGGAGUGGUAGGAACAGCUUGGAGCCAGGCCUGUGUAAAUCCAGGAUCUGCCAUUUGUGCUACACAACCAGGAACAGGUCAGCACCCUCUCUGGGCUGUGGUUUCCUAAGACAGGAAUAACAAUGCUGACCUCAUAGGGCUGCAAGGGUUAUGUGGGCGUUCCACAUUAUUAGGAACACAUGUCCUUCAGGAGCAAUCAGGAAAUGAAAUCCCAUAAAGUACAAAAUGGGCUGGGUGUGGUGGCUCACGCCUGUAGUCCCAGCGCUUCGGGAGGUCCAGGCAGGAGGAUCACUUGAGGCCAGGGGAGUUCAAAACUAGCCCCAGCAACACAGUAAGACCCUGUCUCUGCAGAAAAAAAUUAAAAAUUAGCUAGGCGUGAUGGUGUAUACAUGUAAUCUUAGCGACUUAGAAGGCUGAGGUGAGAGGCUGUCUUGAGCCCAGGAGUUUAAGGUUGCAGUGGGCCAUGAUUGUGCCACUGCACUCCAGCCUGGGCAACAGAGACUCUGUCUCAAAACAAAAAAAGUGCAAAAUGGCAGAGUGACCCUAUGGCUGUCUUUCCUUAUUCCCAGAUUAAGAUAAUUCACUGUGGGUGGCACCUGGCGUUUUGCUCACAUCUCAGCCAUACGUCCCAGUGUCAGGAGGUGCAGGCCUGGCCUUCCUUUUCUGGAGCCGCAAUUUAGGACUUGUCCAGUCUGGGCCUCAUUCUCACCCUAUCAGUCACACACAGACCCGGAGAGGCAACUCUGACCUAGACAACAGCGAAGUUAAUAAAAGAUAUGAGAAUAAGCCCUUUGUGACUACUAUGAUGGGAAGGAAGCAAUGCUUGCUCUUUUCAGCCCAACAUACACUAAGAACCAGACCAAGCAUGAGUCUGUUAGCCAGGAAUGGCCUACUGCCAUUGUCACCACUGCUGGGCCAUGUGGCCUGGCAGAGGGGAGCAAGCUGACUUCAGGUGAGGUCUGGUGAGAAUUCCCAGGUCGCAGCACGCAGGAGACUCCAGGGCCAGCAACCCACUGGGGGCUCCAGUUGCAUUUGCCUCUUGCCAAAGAAUUGAUAUGAGCCAUAGCAGGUCAUGGGCAUGGAGGACACUGGAUGGGUGACUUUGGCUGAGCCUCAGAGGGUGACCCACCCUCAUCCUCAAAGAAGAAAAGCUGAUUGGCAAAAACAAAAACAAACAGAAACCAACAGUGGAGAGCACAUCUUUUCCAACAGACAGAGCCAAUCCGAGGGAACACAGAACCUUGAAGCUCAGCAACAGAGUCUUAGGGAGCUGGUAGGGAAGGCAGUCGGGAGACAGCCCUUUGCUGGCAAUAGUGGGAAGACACAUGGGCACUGUGGAGGAGGCAGAAGUGCUGGCAGAGAAAGAGCGACAGGGCUUCAAGGAGCUUCAGUAAUUUAGUGAACAGGUGGACAUCAGGCAGGAAGCAAGCACAGAAAGUCCAAAAUGUCCUUGAAUUCAGGAAAGUCCCCAGGCCAGUCUGAUUUCACUAAACCAACGCUUCCAUCGCCCCCAUCAGUGAAUUAUUUAAGAAGCUAUUUCCAAAGUGUGGCAGCAUGGACAUUAUGUUGAGUGGAAGAAGCCAGAUAAAGGAGUAGGUUUUCUAUAAUUCCACUUAUGUAAAAUUCAAGAAGAGACAAAACCAGUUUAUGCUGGUAGAAAUCUGAACAGUUAUUUUCCCAGUUUAUGCUGGUGGAAAUCUGAACAGUUAUUUUCUAGCUAGGGAGGGGAGCUGUUGCAGGGGAUUGGCUGGAACAGGAAAUAGAGUGUUCUGAGGUGAUGGAAAAGUUUUCUAUCUUGAUUGGGUGGUAGUUGCUUGGGUACAAAACUCAAUGAACAGUACAGUUGAAAUCUAUGCAUUUUAUUGAUUUAAAUCGUACUCUGAUAAAAUUAACUGAUAUACACACACACGCGCACUUACUUCCAAGUACCUGCUAUGUGUAAUUCAUUGUGAUAAGUGUCUAUAUGUUACAAGCAAACCAAAACAGAACCUGCCCUAAGAAAGUUUACAAAGAAUAAUAGUAGAGACCAGAUAAAAGACAUGGUCCACAAGUCAUAGUUUAAGACAGAUAGUGAUAGAGUCCCCAAGAGACAUAGCUAUAAAGUGAUAUCAGUAGCCAGAGGAAGGAAGAAGGCCUCUGGCUGGAGGGACUCAUUUGGCUUCAUAGAGGAGGCAGCACUUGAGCUGGGCCUUGAAAGAGGUGGGCAAGAACAUUCCAGGUAGAAGAAAGAGCAAAAUAAAGGCAGAGUGGCAGUAUGUCUGGGAAGCAGCAAUAGUUCAACCUGCUUGAGAUGCAGAUCAUGAGAAGAGAGCAAUGACAGAAAAGGUUACAAAGCAAGUAGGAUCAGUUUGUACAGGACCUUGAAUGUCAGGCAAAAGAGUGAAUUUAGCUUGGCCAACAUGGCGAAACCCUGUCUUUACUAAAAUAUACAAAAAUUAGCCGGGUGUGGUGGCACACACCUGUAAUCCCAGCUACUCCAGAGGCUGAGGCAUGAGAAUCGCUUGAACCGGGGAGGCAGAGGCUGCAGUGAGCCCAGUUCGUGCCACUGCACUCCAGCCUGGGCAAGAGAGCGAUACCUCGUCUGAAAAAAAAAAAAAAAAAAGAGAGAGAAAGUGGAUUUGAGCAGAGGUGUGAUAUUGCUAUAAUGUACAGGUUAGACCCGGGUGGAGAGAGUCUAGAGGGUGGGCCUACUUUUCACAGUCAUGUAGUUCCUUGCCUUCCAAAGAGUGAUCCAUAGACCAGGACCAUUGGCAUCACCUGGGAGCUUGCUAGAAAGGCAGAGUAUCUACCAAUAAGACCUAGUGCAUCAGAAUCUGCAUUUUAACAAGAUGCAUGGAUAAUUCUUAGGCAAAUCUAAGUUUUAAAAGCACUGAUCUAGAUGUUAAAAGCACUGGUAUGGAAGUGAGAUAAUGGAUUUGUCUUCCAUACCAGCAGGGGGAUCUGAAUCAGUCCUUUGCUACCCCAAACGCUGAGCCCAACAGGGAAUAUAGGUAGAUAAUUGAUCUUCAUGUUGCUGUUUGACGUAGCAGGAAGAACAGUUCACUCCUGGAGGCCCGCUGAAGAGCAUGUGAAAUCUCAGGGUGAGGAAGGGGUAAACAGUCUAAAGCAGAGAUGCUGUCACUCCUCCAUUUCAUGUUGGCAUCUCAUCAUGAAGACCUCUGUGGAUUGGUGAUGCUCAUCAUCAUUAGUGAUGAUGUGGAUCAAUGCUCUUGGGCUGUGGUGAGUGGAAGCCAAGAUUAUUUCAUCUGAAUAAUUUAUCAUCCCCUAGCAUUAGAGAUUGAAGAUGUGGCCAGGUACUAUUGAGUUCUUUCAAAGGUUAUAGACCCUUCUGAUAGUUUCUUGGCUGCCAUUUUUAGUUAGGUCUCCAUAUGCUUUGCCAGACUUGGUCAAGAUAAUUCCACUUAAGGAAAAAAAAAAAAAAGCUACUUUUGUCCGAACCGUCUGUGAAUUCUCCUGUUUUGAGUCUCCACUUAGCCAGCACCUUGACUUGUCAAUGAUGAAGAAGCAAGAGGCAAGGAAACCAUGGGCCCAUCCCACUCAAAGGCUGACUCCCUUCUAGCUGCUUUCCAGUGAUUCUGCUUCGUUGAUGAUCUUACAUCACGUUCCAGAGAGUGAUGGAAGAUUGACAGAAAGGAUGUAAGCAUGAGCCAUUCCGAAUAUACUAAGAACUUAGUGAAGACAUAGGGAUCUAUAACUUCUAUCCUAUUCAGACUCACAGGGAAUGUUCUGGAGAUAGGUCAUGGUUCUCCUUUAACUACAAAUCUGGCAUCAGGUCUCAGGGAAUGCCUGACAGCUUCAAAAUAAGUCAUGAAUCUAAAUAGCAACAACCAAACAUGCUGAGUUCGGACUCCCAGGCUAUUCUUGUGACGAGUAUUAGCAGGAGUGCUUUAAUUGCUAGCACCUGGGAAAAACAGGCACUCAAGUUCUGUUGUGAAAAGACCAAGCUGACAGUCAAGAGACCUCACCUGGGCAUGAAGAUCAGCUCUCCUUCUCUUGUUCUUCCUCGUACCAGCGGAAUGACGUUGUGAGUUAUUUCAUCUAUUUGAGUCUUAGUUCCUCAUUUGCACAACGUGAACAAAAACAACACUGCACCACUGGGAUUUUGUGAGAAUCACUGAGUGUUCUGAAGCGGUUCAGCCACAUUAACACCAGAACCUACUGAUGAAUUCCAGUUCUGUAAAAGAAUCUAAGUAGCCCAAAAGGCCCUCAAUUAAAUACAUAAGGAAUCCCAUUCCUUUUGAACAAAGAAGCAAAUAGGCUUUAAUCUCAUUGAAAGAGUAGUUUGGGAGCAUCGUUUUUAAAGAAACCAGAAAUAGAAAAUUAUUUUGAGUGUGUCUUUAGGCGAGGCAUUCUUUUUCCAUUACCCGGCCUACCAUAUAGAACUGUCUUCAGAACACUUAAGAAAACCAAAUCUAGAGACGGCACAGGCAGACCUGUCUUCUCUGGAACACUCAAAACCUGGACCAUGCCUGCUCUGGCCCCUGGCCUCUCAUAAAGCAACUCUCUCCCACAGAUUAAGAAUCUUUCAAGAAGAGAUUUUUGUGGUUCUCAUUUGUUCUAUUGCUGUCAGGUUAGAAUCUUUGCUCUUUCUCCUGCAAAGAGGGAGAAAAGUGAUUACAAGACUCUUUUACUAUCCUGUAUUUGGGAAGCUGCUAGCCUGAACAACCUCUAAAGAUCUUCCAAAAGCAAGAUUCUGAGACUGUUCACAACUCUUACAGACUUCUUGGCAUACAUUAGAAUGUGCAAAGAAUACCUCUAGUGUCAGCAAAAAACAAACAGACAAAAAACCCAAACAAAAACAACAACAAAAAACCUUUCCAGGAAUAAGCCAUUCAAAAGAAGUUGCAUUCUUUUGGAGAAUCUCAGAAGUAGUUUGAGAGAAAUAAGAUUGAUCUAGAAAGAUGAUUUUCCCACUCACGUAGUCACAUUCCUGCUUGAGAAUUUAUAAUGAUCUGUCUGGUUUCCUAUUUCUGUAUGUAUUUAUUCAUUCACCAGUAAACAUUUGUGGAAUGCCUAUAGGUAUAUAACCUAUAUAACCCUGUAGGUUUAUAGCAGGAACAUGAGAGGGAUAUGGUCCCUGCCGCAUAGUGUAUACUGCAGAACCUCAGUUCUGGUAGCCCUCUCCUAGACCGUGGAGUUCAUUCUUUGCCCAAUCAGAAGGAAUUUAAAAUAUAGUCCCAUAAGAUUAUAAUGGAGCUGAAAAAUUUCUAUAGCCUAGUGACAUUGUAGCUGUUGUAAAGUCAUAUCACACUUACUGUAUUUUAAACAUAAGUUUAGCAUAGCUGGAGUGUACAGAGUUUGUAAAGUCUAUUGUCGUAUACAGUAACAUCCUAGGCCUUCACAUUCACUCACCACUCACUCACCCAGAGCAACCUCCAGUCCUGCAAACUUCAUUCAUGGCAAAUGCUUUAUACAAGAGUAUCUUUUUUUUUUUAAACUUUAUAUCAAAUCUUACUGUACCUUUCCCAUGUUUAGAAAUGUUUAGAUUCAUAAAAUAUUUACCAUUGUGUUUCAAUUGCCUACAAUAAUCAGUACGGUAACUUGCUAUACAGGUUUGUGUCCUAGGAGCAUUAGACUAUAGCAUAAAAUCUAACUGUGUAGUAGGCUACACCAUCUAGGUAUGUGUAAAUGAACUCCAUGGGUUCACAUGAUGAUGAAAUUGCAUAAGGAUGCAGUCUUGGAAUGUAUCCCUAUUGUUAAGCAACACAUGACUGGACUCUAAUAUUCCAGUGACUCAUCAAAUCAGCCCUGCUCUAAUCUUAAAAGCUGUUGGUUCAAGUAAGUAGCUCCAGCCUUCCCUUUGAAGUGUAGCAAAGGAGGAACAGCAUGAUGGAUAAGCUGCCUGGGAUCUGAUAGGCCAGGGCUCAACCUUGGCUUACCCACUUUCUGGCUGUGGGGUGGGGCUUAGGAUGAAUUACAUAAGUUCUCUAACCUUUAGUGUCUUAUCUGUAAAAUGGGUAUGUUAGAAGGCUUAAGCAAGCUGAGUUUCGAGAAGUGCCCUGUUCAGGGCCCCGUACAGUGAGUAUCCAAUAAAUAAAUGAUGGCCAUUAUUACUAUUAUUCCCCUGUUUAACUGGUCUUGUCCUAUAACCUUGUACUUGAGUCCCCGUUCUAGUACUUUGGCCUGUCUAAGACUAGCAUCUUGCCCUAUUCAUUUAACACAAUUUUUCUCAUCACUUUAUAUUAUGAAAUUUUCAGGCACAAAGAAAAGUUGAAGGAAUUUUAAAGUGAACAUCUAUAUACCAACCACCUAGACUUUACUAUUUUUUACUGUCUUUGUUUUAUCACAUAUGUAUCUAUUUUUCCAUCCCUCUAUUCAUCCAUCAAUCCAUUUAACUUUUUUCUUUUGAGGUAAAUUUUACAAUCAAUGCAAUGCUCAAAUAUUUAAGGUUAUCAUUUGUUGAAUUUUGGUAGUUGCCUAAAUCUGUAUAACCCAAACCCCUGUCAAGGCAUAGAAUGGUACUGUAAUCCCAGAAAGUCCCUUAUGCCAGCUAAUUCCCACCAUUCCUUCCUCCCCAGAGGCACCAUCAAUCUGAUUUUUUUGGUAUCAUCAUUGUUUUGAUGGAUAGCUCUCUUUUUUUUGUACAUUCAUUUUGCUUAUUCUAGAUUUCAAAUAAAUGUAAUUAUAAUGUA